GGCAGCUGCAAUUGUAAUGAAUGAAGAAGUUCGUAGAGGCUGUAGGAAGCUGAACCAACGGAAGGCGGAUUUAGAAGAAAAUGCAACAUUUGAGCAGAAGUUCUUCAUUAUAAGACGAUCUCGGAUGAACUUUUGCCUACGGAUGAAUUAGGAUUUCUCGAAAGUGGAGAUGUAUCGAUGGUUUGGACUGAUUUCCAAUAUUUGGUAACUAUUUUCUAAUUUGUUAUACUACAAACGGAUACGGAAGUGAUUGGUUCACUGCAAGGACUGGAAAGUGUGUUCCAUACGGCUGUUUUUGUGUUACAUAAUCGAUUCUUAUUCCUUAUGAUACGACGGAAAUAUUGCGUACGAUCAAUUAUUGGCUGUGUUAGAACAACUAAAACGAAACAUCAAUCAUGAGCAAGCUUUAAUAAGGGAAUCAGCGAUUACAUUUCUGAUUCUACGUUAUCAUAGAAAACACAACCUCUUGAUGAAGCUGAGCUAUAAGGUUCAGUUUAACUUAUAUUGUCAAUGUUUAUCCUUGGUGCAUGAAGCGGCAAAGCAGAUACUGAUACAAAUAUUACUACCUUAUCUAUCCAGUGCGUGUAUGAUCUAGCAAUGUUGAAAUGGACAGCGUACGAUUGCGAUAUAUGGUGAAAAAAGUGAUUGAUCAAUGGUACACUAUUAAACAGUUAACAAUAGUUUUCCCGGCAUACAUUGUAUUGCUACGUUAAAAGCUCUUAUGGAGAUGAUAGACGCUGUUGCGUAAAAGUUAGCUCACACUUGACGCUGCGGAUGUUAUUAAGAAUUUUCAUGGAUGUUGUGAACCACACGGUAUGUCGGAUAAUGAAUGGAAGAUCAUAAUAUUAAAACUAGUUUUUUAUAACUAGAAAUGAUAAGGUAAAUUCAAAGUACAGAAUACACUUGUUAUUCAAUUGAUUAUUAUUAUUAUUAUUUAUUAACGAAACUUCACACCAGAGGAAUGGUUGGUAUUCUAUUCAUGUUGUUAAUAUUGAGGAGGUUUUUCAUCAAACUUUGGAACGAUUAGAUGAACGCGACUUUGGUUUUACUAUGAUCUGAUUUUCGUUUGAGUUUCACAGAGGCUUUAUAUAAUCGUGUUCAUAGGUAUCACAAAGUAUAAUAAACGGGUUGAUAAGACAAAUUUAAAUAAGAAAGGCGUCAUGGUUUUUUGGUCAUUGAUUAUCAUUCAUUACAUGUAAAUACAUCAAAAAGGUAAUCCAUAAAUUUCAAUAAAUGUACAAAGUAAUAAAUUUUGAAUAAAAGUUCAAACCUAGAUUUGUAUACGCAAACAUUUGCAAAUAAUUACGUAAAGAACUGGAUUGCCUCAAGCAGGUUUCAAUAUGUUGAGUUUUUAAAUAUCCAAAUCCAACUAUCUGUAAAACAAAAGGUCGCACUGUAAUGUAAAUUUAACAUAGCGAGUUUAGCGUCCUAGCGACACCGUUAAAUACAAACUUAUAAAUUGAUUACGUGAUUUGGCAUUAAACAAUUGGAUGAAUUACAAAAUAAAUCUACCUUGAAAUCUACUUAGAACAUGGAUGCAGUUUGAAUUUUACUGAAACUUGGUAUUUGUGAAUAAAAAAAAAAAUAUCUUCGUUAGUAAUAAUUAAAACUAAAUUAUUAUACUUUAGUAGAGAAGUUACAAAAUGUUUGAGGAACAUCUUUUUGAUUUCUAGUAUGAAUUGAAGAAAACUUCAUGCAUGUUUUAGUCUUAAGCGAAAGUAGUCUAGUUGAAGCAUUCAUGACAAACAGAGAUGCAGGAAUUAUUCCAGCCUGCUCUAGACAAAAUAAAGAAAUAGGAUUUCUAGUCUGCAACUAAAUGUACAGAUAAUCUGGAUGACCAAGAAAUGUGUAACCGAGUAAUUGAACAAAUAUUUGUUUACCCCCGAGGGAUCGCUUUGAUGUAUUUUGUACAAAACGUUGAAAAAUCUCGUUUUUUUGUACUCAGCAUUAGCGUGGUGCUGACGGUGGUGGCCAACCGCGUGAGUUACGGAUGGUUGAGUUAUUACACUGCUAUUUAGCCUGUUCAUGCUUGAACGAAGAACAACGUGCACGUAUUUAUUGAUACAAUCUAUUGUACUAUUACAAUUUACAUGCGUGAAAUUUGUGAGUGAAAAACAAUAUGCAAUGUUUGAUUGAAAAAUAUUAUUAAAAAUUCCUGCGUUCAUGUGGUCACAUGUAAACUAGAUGAGGAUUUUCCUAGUGUAGUUUCGGAAAACAUUUUGAUGGAAGUUAUAAGCUGAAUUGGUGCUUAUGUUGAACUAUUAUUUAGCAUAACAUAAGCAGAACGUAGUUUCAAAAUAACCACAAAUCUGUUGUAAGUUUGCAUGCACUAAAGUACAUGCAAAGGAAACAGAAGGUUUUAGUCAUAAUAAAAAGACCAAAUGAAGGAGAUGCGUCUCAGUCCAUUUGGCAGUCCAGUCUAUCAUGAGAUGAAGGAAGUGUGACUUCAGUCCAUCUAUGAUAAAGGGAUGAGCAAAGGAAACGUAAGGUUUCAGUCUGCAAUAAAAAGACCAGAUGAAGGAGAUACGUCUCAGUCCAUUUGGCAAUCCAGUCUAUCAUGAGAUGAAGGAAGUGUGACUUCAGUCCAUCUAUGAUAAAGGGAUGAGCAAAGGAAACGUAAGGUUUCAGUCUGCAAUAAAAAGACCAAAUGAAGGAGAUGCGUCUCAGUCCAUUUGGCAAUCCAGUCUAUCAUGAGAUGAAGGAAGUGUGACUUCAGUCCAUCUAUGAUAAAGGGAUGAGCAAAGGAAACGUAAGGUUUCAGUCUGCAAUAAAAAGACCAAAUGAAGGAGAUGCGUCUCAGUCCAUUUGGCAAUCCAGUCUAUCAUGAGAUGAAGGAAGUGUGACUUCAGUCCAUCUAUGAUAAAGGGAUGAGCAAAGGAAACGUAAGGUUUCAGUCUGCAAUAAAAAGACCAGAUGAAGGAGAUACGUCUCAGUCCAUUUGGCAAUCCAGUCUAUCAUGAGAUGAAGGAAGUGUGACUUUAGUCCAUCUAUGAUAAAGGGAUGAGCAAAGGAAACGUAAGGUUUCAGUCUGCAAUAAAAAGACCAGAUGAAGGAGAUACGUCUCAGUCCAUUUGGCAGUUCAGCCUAUCAUGAGAUGAAGGAAGUGUAACUUCAGUCCAUCUAUGAUAAAGGGACACAUACUUCAAAAUAAUAAAAAUAAUGAUAAUGCGUAUUUAUUAAUACUUUAACUAUUCUAUAUUUCUGCAGCCAUUGCUCAGGAUUAUAUGAAUAAUUUGAAUAGAAGAUCAAGAAAUCUGAAAACGACAUAAUACCAAUAUUUGAGGUACAAUCCAAAGGAUAGCCUUGAUGACCGGAAGAUUGACUCCACAGGAACACAUCCGUUACUUCGAAGAAUCAGUGCAGAGGAGAACUGCUGAUGAUCUGAAAUACCGAUAAUGAACUAUAAAAAUAUAUUAUUUGUUGAUAUAGGAACAAUAGCAAAACGUAGAUCAGCUGACAAACAUUAUGUGAAUGUACAGAUGUAUUAACACCACAACUAUACCGGAGGACAGGUUAAACUAAAACAUGUAUUAUCUAAAUUAAUUUAAAUCUAUUUAAAGGUAAGGAGAGAUGUAGUAGGCUACGAAUAACAUGAAAAGCAAAGUACAUAAAUAAACGUCACUUGUUAUCUAAACCGAA
Aedes albopictus (Asian tiger mosquito) is the source of this 3639-nucleotide long non-coding RNA. RefSeq lists it as uncharacterized. NCBI's taxonomy places the organism in Eukaryota, Metazoa, Arthropoda, Insecta, Diptera, Culicidae. The record is from RefSeq and is a predicted model, not a curated record. The transcript has 2 exons.